This 1100-nucleotide ribosomal RNA is filed under the name Lactiplantibacillus plantarum. Its description in RNAcentral is "bacterial SSU rRNA". It matches the Rfam family "Bacterial small subunit ribosomal RNA", at positions 384 to 1479 of the family's 1533-position model. Lineage: Bacteria; Bacillati; Bacillota; Bacilli; Lactobacillales; Lactobacillaceae. The record is from RNAcentral.
GGAUGAGCCACCGCCGCUUGAAGGAAGAAGGGUUUCGGAUAGUAAAACUCUGAUGUUAAAGAAGAACAUAUCUGAGAGUAACUGUUCAGGUAUUGACGGUAUUUAACCAGAAAGCCACGGCUAACUACGUGCCAGCAGCCGCGGUAAUACGUAGGUGGCAAGCGUUGUCCGGAUUUAUUGGGCGUAAAGCGAGCGCAGGCGGUUUAUUAAGUCUGAUGUGAAAGCCUUCGGCUCAACCGAAGAAGUGCAUCGGAAACUGGGAAACUUGAGUGCAGAAGAGGACAGUGGAACUCCAUGUGUAGCGGUGAAAUGCGUAGAUAUAUGGAAGAACACCAGUGGCGAAGGCGGCUGUCUGGUCUGUAACUGACGCUGAGGCUCGAAAGUAUGGGUAGCAAACAGGAUUAGAUACCCUGGUAGUCCAUACCGUAAACGAUGAAUGCUAAGUGUUGGAGGGUUUCCGCCCUUCAGUGCUGCAGCUAACGCAUUAAGCAUUCCGCCUGGGGAGUACGGCCGCAAGGCUGAAACUCAAAGGAAUUGACGGGGGCCCGCACAAGCGGUGGAGCAUGUGGUUUAAUUCGAAGCUACGCGAAGAACCUUACCAGGUCUUGACAUACUAUGCAAAUCUAAGAGAUUAGACGUUCCCUUCGGGGACAUGGAUACAGGUGGUGCAUGGUUGUCGUCAGCUCGUGUCGUGAGAUGUUGGGUUAAGUCCCGCAACGAGCGCAACCCUUAUUAUCAGUUGCCAGCAUUAAGUUGGGCACUCUGGUGAGACUGCCGGUGACAAACCGGAGGAAGGUGGGGAUGACGUCAAAUCAUCAUGCCCCUUAUGACCUGGGCUACACACGUGCUACAAUGGAUGGUACAACGAGUUGCGAACUCGCGAGAGUAAGCUAAUCUCUUAAAGCCAUUCUCAGUUCGGAUUGUAGGCUGCAACUCGCCUACAUGAAGUCGGAAUCGCUAGUAAUCGCGGAUCAGCAUGCCGCGGUGAAUACGUUCCCGGGCCUUGUACACACCGCCCGUCACACCAUGAGAGUUUGUAACACCCAAAGUCGGUGGGGUAACCUUUUAGGAACCAGCCGCCUAAGUGACAGAGGGUUGGA